This 353-nucleotide unclassified non-coding RNA is filed under the name soil metagenome. RNAcentral's name for it is "partial contains 5.8S ribosomal RNA, internal transcribed spacer 2, and large subunit ribosomal RNA". The stretch from base 1 to 120 matches the Rfam family "5.8S ribosomal RNA", at positions 35 to 154 of the family's 154-position model. The record is from RNAcentral.
GAUGAAGAACGCAGCGAAAUGCGAUAAGUAAUGUGAAUUGCAGAAUUCAGUGAAUCAUCGAAUCUUUGAACGCACAUUGCGCCCGCCAGUAUUCUGGCGGGCAUGCCUGUUCGAGCGUCAUUACAACCCUCAGGCCCCCGGGCCUGGCGUUGGGGAUCGGCGGAAGCCCCCUGCGGGCACAACGCCGUCCCCCAAAUACAGUGGCGGUCCCGCCGCAGCUUCCAUUGCGUAGUAGCUAACACCUCGCAACUGGAGAGCGGCGCGGCCACGCCGUAAAACGCCCAACUUCUGAAUGUUGACCUCGAAUCAGGUAGGAAUACCCGCUGAACUUAAGCAUAUCAAUAAGCGGAGGA